UACGUAGGGUGCGAGCGUUAAUCGGAAUUACUGGGCGUAAAGCGUGCGCAGGCGGUUCGUUGUGUCGGCGGUGAAAGCCCCGGGCUCAACCUGGGAAUGGCCGUUGAAACUGGCGAACUGGAGUGUGGCAGAGGGGGGUGGAAUUCCGCGUGUAGCAGUGAAAUGCGUAGAUAUCGGGAAGAACACCCGUGGCGAAGGCGGCUCUCUGGGACGGUACUGACGCUGAGACGCGAAAGCGUGGGGAGCGAACAGG
This 253-nucleotide ribosomal RNA is filed under the name uncultured bacterium. Its description in RNAcentral is "partial 16S ribosomal RNA". It matches the Rfam family "Bacterial small subunit ribosomal RNA", at positions 524 to 776 of the family's 1533-position model. The record is from RNAcentral.